CGCUGGCGGCGUGCUUAACACAUGCAAGUCGAACGGAAAGGCCCUGCUUUUGUGGGGUGCUCGAGUGGCGAACGGGUGAGUAACACGUGAGUAACCUGCCCUUGACUUUGGGAUAACUUCAGGAAACUGGGGCUAAUACCGGAUAGGAGCUCCUGCUGCAUGGUGGGGGUUGGAAAGUUUCGGCGGUUGGGGAUGGACUCGCGGCUUAUCAGCUUGUUGGUGGGGUAGUGGCUUACCAAGGCUUUGACGGGUAGCCGGCCUGAGAGGGUGACCGGCCACAUUGGGACUGAGAUACGGCCCAGACUCCUACGGGAGGCAGCAGUGGGGAAUAUUGCACAAUGGGCGGAAGCCUGAUGCAGCAACGCCGCGUGCGGGAUGACGGCCUUCGGGUUGUAAACCGCUUUCGCCUGUGACGAAGCGUGAGUGACGGUAAUGGGUAAAGAAGCACCGGCUAACUACGUGCCAGCAGCCGCGGUGAUACGUAGGGUGCGAGCGUUGUCCGGAUUUAUUGGGCGUAAAGGGCUCGUAGGUGGUUGAUCGCGUCGGAAGUGUAAUCUUGGGGCUUAACCCUGAGCGUGCUUUCGAUACGGGUUGACUUGAGGAAGGUAGGGGAGAAUGGAAUUCCUGGUGGAGCGGUGGAAUGCGCAGAUAUCAGGAGGAACACCAGUGGCGAAGGCGGUUCUCUGGGCCUUUCCUGACGCUGACGAGCGAAAGCGUGGGGAGCGAACAGGCUUAGAUACCCUGGUAGUCCACGCUGUAAACGGUGGGUACUAGGUGUGGGGUCCAUUCCACGGGUUCCGUGCCGUAGCUAACGCUUUAAGUACCCCGCCUGGGGAGUACGGCCGCAAGGCUAAAACUCAAAGGAAUUGACGGGGCCCCGCACAAGCGGCGGAGCAUGCGGAUUAAUUCGAUGCAACGCGUAGAACCUUACCUGGGUUUGACAUGGAUCGGGAGUGCUCAGAGAUGGGUGUGCCUCUUUUGGGGUCGGUUCACAGGUGGUGCAUGGCUGUCGUCAGCUCGUGUCGUGAGAUGUUGGGUUAAGUCCCGCAACGAGCGCAACCCUUGUUCACUGUUGCCAGCACGUUAUGGUGGGGACUCAGUGGAGACCGCCGGGGUCAACUCGGAGGAAGGUGGGGAUGACGUCAAGUCAUCAUGCCCCUUAUGUCCAGGGCUUCACGCAUGCUACAAUGGCUGGUACAGAGAGUGGCGAGCCUGUGAGGGUGAGCGAAUCUCGGAAAGCCGGUCUCAGUUCGGAUUGGGGUCUGCAACUCGACCUCAUGAAGUCGGAGUCGCUAGUAAUCGCAGAUCAGCAACGCUGCGGUGAAUACGUUCCCGGGGCUUGUACACACCGCCCGUCAAGUCAUGAAAGUUGGUAACACCCGAAGCCGGUGGCCUAACCGUUGUGGGGGAGCCGUCGAAGGUGGGACUGGUGAAU
Molecule: ribosomal RNA, 1435 nt
Filed under: uncultured organism
Description: partial small subunit ribosomal RNA
Rfam family: Bacterial small subunit ribosomal RNA
Source: RNAcentral